RNAcentral lists this ribosomal RNA (496 nucleotides) under uncultured bacterium. RNAcentral describes it as "partial 16S ribosomal RNA". It matches the Rfam family "Bacterial small subunit ribosomal RNA", at positions 29 to 507 of the family's 1533-position model. The record is from RNAcentral.
AUGAACGCUGGCGGCGUGCCUAAUACAUGCAAGUCGAGCGAACAGACGAGGAGCUUGCUCCUCUGACGUUAGCGGCGGACGGGUGAGUAACACGUGGAUAACCUACCUAUAAGACUGGGAUAACUUCGGGAAACCGGAGCUAAUACCGGAUAAUAUAUUGAACCGCAUGGUUCAAUAGUGAAAGACGGUUUUGCUGUCACUUAUAGAUGGAUCCGCGCCGCAUUAGCUAGUUGGUAAGGUAACGGCUUACCAAGGCAACGAUGCGUAGCCGACCUGAGAGGGUGAUCGGCCACACUGGAACUGAGACACGGUCCAGACUCCUACGGGAGGCAGCAGUAGGGAAUCUUCCGCAAUGGGCGAAAGCCUGACGGAGCAACGCCGCGUGAGUGAUGAAGGUCUUCGGAUCGUAAAACUCUGUUAUUAGUGAAGAACAAAUGUGUAAGUAACUAUGCACGUCUUGACGGUACCUAAUCAGAAAGCCACGGCUAACUACGUG